GGGCCGUUAGCUCAAUUGGUAGAGCAAGUGACUCUUAAUCACUAGGUUAAAGGUUCGAGUCCUUUACGGCUCA
RNAcentral lists this transfer RNA (73 nucleotides) under Candidatus Wallbacteria bacterium GWC2_49_35. RNAcentral describes it as "tRNA-Lys". It matches the Rfam family "tRNA". Rfam says of the family: Transfer RNA (tRNA) molecules are approximately 80 nucleotides in length. Lineage: Bacteria; Candidatus Walliibacteriota. The record is from RNAcentral. RNAcentral also lists the same sequence under 2 other names.